CGCGGCAAGACGGAAAGACCCCGUGAACCUUUACUAUAGCUUGACACUGAACAUUGAGCCUUGAUGUGUAGGAUAGGUGGGAGGCUUUGAAGUGUGGACGCCAGUCUGCAUGGAGCCGACCUUGAAAUACCACCCUUUAAUGUUUGAUGUUCUAACGUGGACCCGUAAUCCGGGUUGCGGACAGUGUCUGGUGGGUAGUUUGACUGGGGCGGUCUCCUCCUAAAGAGUAACGGAGGAGCACGAAGGUUGGCUAAUCCUGGUCGGACAUCAGGAGGUUAGUGCAAUGGCAUAAGCCAGCUUGACUGCGAGCGUGACGGCGCGAGCAGGUGCGAAAGCAGGUCAUAGUGAUCCGGUGGUUCUGAAUGGAAGGGCCAUCGCUCAACGGAUAAAAGGUACUCCGGGGAUAACAGGCUGAUACCGCCCAAGAGUUCAUAUCGACGGCGGUGUUUGGCACCUCGAUGUCGGCUCAUCACAUCCUGGGGCUGAAGUAGGUCCCAAGGGUAUGGCUGUUCGCCAUUUAAAGUGGUACGCGAGCUGGGUUUAGAACGUCGUGAGACAGUUCGGUCCCUAUCUGCCGUGGGCGCUGGAGAAUUGAGGGGGGCUGCUCCUAGUACGAGAGGACCGGAGUGGACGCAUCACUGGUGUUCGGGUUGUCAUGCCAAUGGCACUGCCCGGUAGCUAAAUGCGGAAGAGAUAAGUGCUGAAAGCAUCUAAGCACGAAACUUGCCCCGAGAUGAGUUCUCCCUGACUCCUUGAGAGUCCUGAAGGAACGUUGAAGACGACGACGUUGAUAGGCCGGGUGUGUAAGCGCAGCGAUGCGUUGAGCUAACCGGUACUAAUGAACCGUGAGGCUUAACCUUACAACGCCGAAG
This 872-nucleotide ribosomal RNA is filed under the name Escherichia coli. RNAcentral describes it as "partial 23S ribosomal RNA". It matches the Rfam family "Bacterial large subunit ribosomal RNA", at positions 2071 to 2925 of the family's 2925-position model. The record is from RNAcentral. Lineage: Bacteria; Pseudomonadati; Pseudomonadota; Gammaproteobacteria; Enterobacterales; Enterobacteriaceae.